This 424-nucleotide ribosomal RNA is filed under the name uncultured beta proteobacterium. RNAcentral describes it as "bacterial SSU rRNA". It matches the Rfam family "Bacterial small subunit ribosomal RNA", at positions 207 to 622 of the family's 1533-position model. Lineage: Bacteria; Pseudomonadati; Pseudomonadota; Betaproteobacteria. The record is from RNAcentral.
CAAGACCUUGCGCUUUUGGAGCGGCCGAUGUCUGAUUAGCUAGUUGGUGAGGUAAAGGCUUACCAAGGCUUCGAUCAGUAGCUGGUCUGAGAGGACGACCAGCCACACUGGGACUGAGACACGGCCCAGACUCCUACGGGAGGCAGCAGUGGGGAAUUUUGGACAAUGGGGGAAACCCUGACCCAGCCAUGCCGCGUGAGUGAAGAAGGCCUUCGGGUUGUAAAGCUCUUUCAGCCGGAACGAAAAGGUUACGGUUAAUACCCGUGACUAAUGACGGUACCGGAAGAAGAAGCACCGGCUAACUACGUGCCAGCAGCCGCGGUAAUACGUAGGGUGCGAGCGUUAAUCGGAAUUACUGGGCGUAAAGCGUGCGCAGGCGGUUUUGUAAGUCAGAUGUGAAAUCCCCGGGCUCAACCUGGGAACU